CAAAGAGGAGCCAUUGAAGAAUACUGUUGUCCUAUCCCAGAAGGAGCAAGCGGACAACACUGAUAUCCUGACCACUAACCAUCCAGCACCACUUAAAGCCACACUCUCCUCUUUGGUCUUUCCUGGUACGCAGCAUACAAGCCCACAGAUUGAGGACUCUGCACUUGCUGUUCUCUCUGCCUGGAGCUCUAUGGCUCCAGAUAGACUCCUGCCAACUCCUUCGCCUUGUCCAAGUUACCUUCAUUAAAUGUCAGCUUAAAUGUGUGCCUACUUUUUGCCCUACCUAGAAUUGCAAGCACCUCUCACCACUGUGCUCCCAUUCUCCUUAACUUAAGCCACUUUUAUUCUCAUAAUAAAGCCACAUAUUUUUUCUUAUUAUAUCAUAAUCGUACUGUAUAAUUUAUAUUUUAUUACUUUUGUUUGUAUACUUAUUGUAUGUUUCUGUUCACAAGGAUGUAAACCCCAUGAACACAGAGAUCUUUGAUUGUUUUAUUCACUGAUUUAUGCCAAAUGUUUGGAACAAUGCCUGGCA
This 532-nucleotide long non-coding RNA is filed under the name Homo sapiens (human). RNAcentral's name for it is "non-protein coding LINC01393:5". The record is from RNAcentral. Lineage: Eukaryota; Metazoa; Chordata; Mammalia; Primates; Hominidae.